UGGCUCUCCGUCCAUACAAGUGGAUUGGAUGUUUGGAGCAGGGAAACAACAAUGAGGACUGGUGUAUUGUAUACUCCUUCUUCCUAACCAAUAAUGAACAGCAAAUUCACGCGGAAACGAUUGAACGCUCGGCUAACUCAAAGACAGACCUUGAAAGUGGAAAAUCAAAACAUGAGAAAGGCCUCUCUCCGUGUGGGAUUUAUCCACCAGCCAUG
Molecule: long non-coding RNA, 215 nt
Organism: Engraulis encrasicolus (European anchovy)
Lineage: Eukaryota; Metazoa; Chordata; Actinopteri; Clupeiformes; Engraulidae
Exons: 3
Source: RefSeq, a predicted model, not a curated record